UAGCGAAGGGGGCUAGCGUUGUUCGGAAUUACUGGGCGUAAAGGGCGCGUAGGCGGCCUGUUAAGUCGAACGUGAAAUCCCCGGGCUCAACCCGGGAACUGCGUCCGAUACUGGCAGGCUUGAAUCCGGGAGAGGGAUGCGGAAUUCCAGGUGUAGCGGUGAAAUGCGUAGAUAUCUGGAGGAACACCAGUGGCGAAAGCGCGUGACUGGGCCAUAACUGACGCUGAGGAACGAAAGCUAGGGUAGCGAAAGGG
Molecule: ribosomal RNA, 254 nt
Filed under: uncultured bacterium
Lineage: Bacteria
Description: partial 16S ribosomal RNA
Rfam family: Bacterial small subunit ribosomal RNA
Source: RNAcentral